CCUACGGGAGGCAGCAGUGGGGAAUAUUGGACAAUGGGCGAAAGCCUGAUCCAGCCAUGCCGCGUGUGUGAAGAAGGCCUUCGGGUUGUAAAGCACUUUCAGUGGGGAAGAAAGCCUUGGGGCUAAUACCCUCGAGGAAGGACAUCACCCACAGAAGAAGCACCGGCUAACUCCGUGCCAGCAGCCGCGGUAAUACGGAGGGUGCGAGCGUUAAUCGGAAUUACUGGGCGUAAAGCGCGCGUAGGCGGUCUGAUAAGCCGGUUGUGAAAGCCCCGGGCUCAACCUGGGAACGGCAUCCGGAACUGUCAGGCUAGAGUGCAGGAGAGGAAGGUAGAAUUCCCGGUGUAGCGGUGACAUGCGUAGAGAUCGGGAGGAAUACCAGUGGCGAAGGCGGCCUUCUGGACUGACACUGACGCUGAGGUGCGAAAGCGUGGGUAGCAAACAGGAUUAGAUACCCUGUAGUC
RNAcentral lists this ribosomal RNA (464 nucleotides) under Vreelandella stevensii. Its description in RNAcentral is "partial 16S ribosomal RNA". It matches the Rfam family "Bacterial small subunit ribosomal RNA", at positions 338 to 795 of the family's 1533-position model. Lineage: Bacteria; Pseudomonadati; Pseudomonadota; Gammaproteobacteria; Oceanospirillales; Halomonadaceae. The record is from RNAcentral.